CUGGAAGGUGCUGACAUCUUUGUUGAAGUUCGAACAUCGAGAAUUGAAUGGAUAUCUUCUACUCGUAGACGAAGUGCCAAUGAUCGCACGCCGAGGUGUCGUUAGGACGACAGCGGUGGCAGCGGUUGACCGAAUCGUCGGUAUUUUGUUUACUAACAUGGAUACAAUGCGACGGGCUCUAGCCGCGAUGGAGCGGACAGUGGACGUAGAAGAGAUAAUUGCAAAGACCGAAACGAAGAACUAGGCCGAAUUGCUCUUGUGCCAGCGUAUCGAUACUGAUAUUUUUCUUGCUCUCCCUAAUGCUAAAGUUAGCGCAACUUGAAAGUCUUGUUAAAAAUUUGGCUGUCGUAAGGGCUCUGUGAGUUCACAGAAAAAAGUAAGAGAGAAGAAAGGUCUAUUGGAGAAGAAUCCAGAUUGAUAACCGAUAGAAAGAAGCAUGGCAUAUCGUACUUCAUAUCGGAACGACACUCGGCUGGAGACUGUCAUGCCGUCGGCCCCCUCCAGAAUGACCCCCGUGUUGCAGAUCCGGGUUGAUUUGUUAUAGAUUACGUGCAAAAAAGUAGUCAGACAGCAGAAGCGGUAAAGAGCGACAGAAAAUAUGGAACUUCGCUAUGAGGCGAAGACUCAUUACGAAAAAACGUCAUCAAGCAGGUAACAAUCAAUCACAAUAACGACAAUACAAUGGUGACCUCAUUAACGGCGACGACGAAUAACCGAGGAUGCCUGGUAGGCCGAAAAAAUGGUCCGCAGAGUAAUCACAAGUGCUGCGCCUGCAGCAUAAAUAGCAGAUUACUGCAUCAACAGCCCCCGAUAGGUGAAGAAAGUAUCGCUGCUCAAAGUUCUAUGGCUACUGGAUACGCUUUGAGGAUAGCGUUUGUUGCAGUAGGCGAUUGAUUACAAUCCCUAUGAACACUGUAGAACCAAUAAAAGUUUUAUUAUUUUUAUAACAAAAGUGAUUUCGCCAUUUAUGAUGGAUGGCCCUUUAUCGGCUAAGCAUCAAACGGUCUGUGAGGUCGAUGUAAAAAAAGAGCAAAUGUUCUAUAAUCACUAGAUUAUAUAAUAUGCUGGCCGAAAAAAAACGUCGAUUUUUGCUCGUGUAUUAGUAGAAUUUUUAACUCAGUUGACUUUCGAAACUUCUAACGAAGAUCGUUACGUUUGAUCAAGGAAUUUUUGUUCCCAUUUUAAUAGAAGACACAGAAGCGGAGCUACACUGCAUUGGUAUUUGGCGAAAGUACUUGUCGUAUUGCAAAACCAAGAAAAUAUACCUAUAUGUAAAUAUUGUAAUAAAGACGAGUCAGAGAUUGUAUUUUCUAAGCUGUUGGCGCAUCCUUUAGUAAAAACAUUUUAAGGAAACGCUAUUCUACUGCAGGGUUAAAAACAGCUUUCAAGGAGCUUUACGAUGCCUUUGUGUUUCCCACAACAUCAGUUCUCGUCUGCAUUAUACAUGAAUCACAGCACGCCGUAAAAUAGUUUGUCGUUAAGAGAUUAUUUGUGUACGCAAGGUUUUAAUGUUUCGAACUAUACGUCCUGUAGAGCACGAAACGAUGUGUAUCUCGGCUUGGUGUCUCGAGCCGAGACCAUCUAGAUCCUUCUAGAUGUCGUAAGCAAACUCGUUGCUAGGAUACCAUUUGUAGUCAUUACAGUUCUACUGUGAGAAUUAUAUCGAUGCCAAAAAGGAACGUAAAAGUAAUUGUACAUACUGCACGAUGAAAGACAGAAAUUUGCAUGAAAUGUUAGCGGGUGCGGUGGGACAUAGAAAUCGCUUACUACUAGUUGUUCACGACUUCGUUCCUUGUUCGGUUACCGGACAGGUGGGAAGAAAUAGAUUUUCUCUUUGAGUUCAUCUCGACCUGACACAGUUCUGUAGGGAAAGUGCUCUUGUUGUGUUAAAAGUAGCAAGGGCAAGUUGGAUAGUCUAGGUUCAAGAUCAGGAAUGGGCACGCGACUUGUCUCGCGCUUUUAAGAGCCAGCCAUCUGACACAGUGCCGAUGGGCAAUAUCAGGCAUAAAACCCAAGGUAUAUACUGAAGUUGUAGUUCUUCGAUUUUCAGUCGGUGAUCGUUUAGCGACCACGGUUCAGGCAUUGGCAUCAUCAGAGAGUCUAGAAUGGAUCCUGGAAAACAAUGAGAUGGCGUUGUGGAUAUUUGCUCCUCUGACUAUUUGGCUUAUUUUGCGCCUGUAUUAAAUGGAUGUAAACAUUACGCAUCCUGAGACAGAUAUCUACGUGCGCUCAGUAUAUCUACGUGUCCGUAACCAUGCAGAGUCCACUACAAAAUAGGCAUAUUCAAGUGAAAUACGGGUUACCACACCCGUAGUAACCGUUGACCAACGGCAGAGAAAGGGUCGGAACAUGUCCUUCACGCUAGACGAAUGUUCCAUAGCGGAAUGGAAUAGGGUACGGCGAAAGGCGCAAAUCAAGAUAAACAAUAAUGCGAAAAUCUACGAUGCCGAUAGGCAGCUCCAGACAACAACGUGCAAAAGAACUGCGUCAAUAUUACGAGACGAUGCAGAGUCAGAAUAUCGACCUGUUACAUCGGCCCGAUUCUAUUGGAAAAAAAAAACACUCAAUUAAUUAUUGUCGUCAAAUGAUCAUAGGAGAAAUACUUAUAAGUGUUUCUUUUUUAUUUUCCAUUAGCAAGCUUGUGAUUGGUUACUGUUUAAGGAAAUUUCGUUUUUUGUCUGGUUUAGCUAUGUUUUUUUUCUAGGUUAUGCUGAAGCGGCAACGAUCUGUGGGAGUAAUGCAGAACAAAAACUCUGAAAAGCAAAGGAAGGAGGUUUUUUUAAACGAGGAGUAUUUUUAGCUGCAGCAAUUGAAAAUGCAGACUUUCUUUUUCGAAAUGCUAAUAUUCAUUGUAAUAAACUAUGCAGAGAUGAUGAUAUUUAUCGCUUCGUUGCCAACCGUGACUUGGCAACUUGAAGUUAAACCUAUAGUUGGUCGUUCGCAUUAAUUAUCGGACAACUAGAAUGUACUUCACGAAGAAGUUUACUUAUAUGAUUAUUUGUAAGUGUAGUACUGAGAAGAAACACGCUACGGUGUUCAUAAACGAUCUAAACGUUAUUGACAGGAAAUCGAUGCCUGUGUAGGCAUGCUUGAUUUACAGAUGACUUGUGUGUUGAGUUUCAAAAUGAUACAGAAUAAUUUCAUACAAAUGGCGAAAAGCUACACGGUUAUAACUGCCAAGUUAAUGUGCUUCUUUUCAAUUUACAAGACAAGACUCACGCAAAACGAACCAACGUGAAGACGUUGCGCGGGUGUCAUUAUGUUGUAGCCCAUAUCAACUAUAUGACAACGAGGGCUCUACUGAUACAUUUGUUUCUGUGCGGUAUUGAAAUAAAGAAACCCACAACAAACCUACACAAACACGUUACAAGUCCCUGCUUGCAAUUCCAACAUAAAAUAAGCGUGCCGAAUUAGACAGUGCGACGUUUGUCUGUCCCGACCACCUUCUUCGAAAAGCUAAACAAUCAUGCAAGAAAAACAGGUUAAAUAGGUAACUAUACAAUAGGCACACCAAAAUAUGUUUUCUGACUGUUUUGGUGACACUGACAAUUUAGCAUUUACGAUAAGCAUUAAGGCAGCUACUUAACAACAACAACACGGAGAAUAACCCCUUCGUUAUUGAAAAUGGGUUUCAACAUACAAGUAUGCGCUUCGCCAACCUUCAUCAAUGGUUAGUUUUAUGUCUGGAUUGAAAAACGACCAAUAAUAAAUUCUGCCGUAAAUUUUUCGAAGCGUGGCACACGGAAACCCAUCGACGUGCGUCCACGUCUGCAAAAACAGGCUACAUAAAAAAUAACAGCUAUUAAAUUCAUAUUUUGUGGAUAUAACAACCCAAGGACGAGAAUGAAAAGCGAUUAUGAAAGUGUUCCCGACUUAACAAUUUUACAAAGGCGUGUAUGUCUAUAUGGAGUUGAUGUAGGUAGGAUUUUUUUUUUUUUGUGUAAAUCCUGAUCUUCUUGGCAAUGGCUGCUUGGCAUUAUUCUUAAAGAUCUGACGUGAGGCGCCAAGUUUUUACAUGCAAUUGCUAGUCCUUGGAAUUAUAUUUGUUGUGUUUCUUAGUAUCCUUUUUUUUAUGUUCUCGUACAUCAUCGACUGAAGACACGCAUAUUGAAACUUGAACUAAUAGUCCACAGUUUACCGUUCACCUGAUCUGCCUCUUGUGAAUCUAACAAUAUUACGCACAAUCAUCAGCCGUGCCAUAUCAAACAUUAUGUACAUAGUGUAGUUUUACAUUGAAGCUAAAGCGAUAAGGAUUGAAAAAUCGUCGUCCUUUGAUUAUACUGGGCAGGUCAUCUUUUAGAAUAGUCUAUCAGGGCCUGAUUGGUGGGGUUACAUUACCGGGCAUUAAACGUGUGGUGGUGAACCCGCUUUUGCGGGAGUUUGAAAGUUCUCUGCAUACAUAGUGUGAAUUACUUUGAAUCCAUUGACGCCUCCGUUCUGUGACAGAAUGAUUCCUGGAUACAGCUUCAAAAUGACGUCAAGCAUAGUAUGGAUAUACUCAUACGCUGUAUUAAUCGACUAGUAAUAGAACGAACAUCUGAACGUCUGUUAUCUAGAAUCAUUGAAAAUUCUAGUUCACACACUUUCACUAAUAAAUUGUCAUCAAUUCAAUAAUGAGAAAUUUAUUCGGGCAGCGAAAAAAGAUGGACCACUAAAAA
RNAcentral lists this long non-coding RNA (4658 nucleotides) under Varroa destructor (honeybee mite). RNAcentral's name for it is "uncharacterized LOC111249715". The record is from RNAcentral. Lineage: Eukaryota; Metazoa; Arthropoda; Arachnida; Mesostigmata; Varroidae.